This 76-nucleotide transfer RNA is filed under the name Sulfitobacter litoralis. Its description in RNAcentral is "tRNA-Ile". It matches the Rfam family "tRNA". Rfam says of the family: Transfer RNA (tRNA) molecules are approximately 80 nucleotides in length. Their secondary structure includes four short double-helical elements and three loops (D, anti-codon, and T loops). Further hydrogen bonds mediate the characteristic L-shaped molecular structure. tRNAs have two regions of fundamental functional importance: the anti-codon, which is responsible for specific mRNA codon recognition, and the 3' end, to which the tRNAs corresponding amino acid is attached (by aminoacyl-tRNA synthetases). tRNAs cope with the degeneracy of the genetic code in two manners: having more than one tRNA (with a specific anti-codon) for a particular amino acid; and 'wobble' base-pairing, i.e. permitting non-standard base-pairing at the 3rd anti-codon position. The record is from RNAcentral. RNAcentral also lists the same sequence under 2 other names. Lineage: Bacteria; Pseudomonadati; Pseudomonadota; Alphaproteobacteria; Rhodobacterales; Roseobacteraceae.
GGUGGCAUAGCUCAGCUGGUAGAGCGCAGGACCGAUAAUCCUGAUGUCCGAGGUUCGAUCCCUCGUGCCACCACCA